RNAcentral lists this ribosomal RNA (160 nucleotides) under uncultured Lactobacillus sp. RNAcentral describes it as "partial 16S ribosomal RNA". It matches the Rfam family "Bacterial small subunit ribosomal RNA", at positions 355 to 507 of the family's 1533-position model. Lineage: Bacteria; Bacillati; Bacillota; Bacilli; Lactobacillales; Lactobacillaceae. The record is from RNAcentral.
UAGGGAAUCUUCCACAAUGGGCGCAAGCCUGAUGGAGCAACGCCGCGUGAGUGAAGAAGGGUUUCGGCUCGUAAAGCUCUGUUGGUAGUGAAGAAAGAUAGAGGUAGUAACUGGCCUUUAUUUGACGGUAAUCAGCCAGAAAGUCACGGCUAACUACGUG